This 1060-nucleotide ribosomal RNA is filed under the name uncultured Cryobacterium sp. RNAcentral's name for it is "bacterial SSU rRNA". It matches the Rfam family "Bacterial small subunit ribosomal RNA", at positions 337 to 1395 of the family's 1533-position model. The record is from RNAcentral. Lineage: Bacteria; Bacillati; Actinomycetota; Actinomycetes; Micrococcales; Microbacteriaceae.
UCCUACGGGAGGCAGCAGUGGGGAAUAUUGCACAAUGGGCGCAAGCCUGAUGCAGCAACGCCGCGUGAGGGACGAAGGCCUUCGGGUUGUAAACCUCUUUUAGUAGGGAAGAAGCGACUGGGUUUUCCUGGGAGUGACGGUACCUGCAGAAAAAGCACCGGCUAACUACGUGCCAGCAGCCGCGGUAAUACGUAGGGUGCAAGCGUUGUCCGGAAUUAUUGGGCGUAAAGAGCUCGUAGGCGGUUUGUCGCGUCUGCUGUGAAAACCCGAGGCUCAACCUCGGGCCUGCAGUGGGUACGGGCAGACUAGAGUGCGGUAGGGGAGAUUGGAAUUCCUGGUGUAGCGGUGGAAUGCGCAGAUAUCAGGAGGAACACCAAUGGCGAAGGCAGAUCUCUGGGCCGUAACUGACGCUGAGGAGCGAAAGCAUGGGGAGCGAACAGGAUUAGAUACCCUGGUAGUCCAUGCCGUAAACGUUGGGAACUAGAUGUGGGGACCAUUCCACGGUCUCCGUGUCGCAGCUAACGCAUUAAGUUCCCCGCCUGGGGAGUACGGCCGCAAGGCUAAAACUCAAAGGAAUUGACGGGGGCCCGCACAAGCGGCGGAGCAUGCGGAUUAAUUCGAUGCAACGCGAAGAACCUUACCAAGGCUUGACAUAUACCGGAAACGGCUGGAAACAGUCGCCCCGCAAGGUCGGUAUACAGGUGGUGCAUGGUUGUCGUCAGCUCGUGUCGUGAGAUGUUGGGUUAAGUCCCGCAACGAGCGCAACCCUUGUCCUAUGUUGCCAGCACGUAAUGGUGGGAACUCAUGGGAUACUGCCGGGGUCAACUCGGAGGAAGGUGGGGAUGACGUCAAAUCAUCAUGCCCCUUAUGUCUUGGGCUUCACGCAUGCUACAAUGGCCGGUACAAAGGGCUGCGAUACCGCAAGGUGGAGCGAAUCCCAAAAAGCCGGUCUCAGUUCGGAUUGAGGUCUGCAACUCGACCUCAUGAAGUCGGAGUCGCUAGUAAUCGCAGAUCAGCAACGCUGCGGUGAAUACGUUCCCGGGCCUUGUACACACCGCCA